Non-coding RNA from Notechis scutatus (mainland tiger snake), 201 nucleotides. The record is from RefSeq and is a predicted model, not a curated record. NCBI's taxonomy places the organism in Eukaryota, Metazoa, Chordata, Lepidosauria, Squamata, Elapidae.
AGUCAGGUAGUGCAAUCCAGGCAUUGACCACUCUGUUGCUGAAGUCGUACUUUCUUCAAUCAAGUUUGGAGCAGUUUACAUUGAGUUUGUAUCUGUUGUGUGCUCUUGUAUUGUUGCGGUUAAAGCUGAUGUAGUCAUUGACUGGUAGGACCUUGUAGCAGACAAUUUUGUGUACUAAGUUUAGGUCAGACUGUAGGCGGC